GUCUUUGUGUGUUCCAAUCCCCGUUCAUUCUCAUUUACUGUGGAAAGUUGAGGAGAUGGGGUGUCCCAGUUGAUAGGGCUCCUGGGAUUUCAGACUGAAGACCAGCAGGACUCCAGUCAGCUCUACCCCAGCUCUCCAGGACACAGCGCUUCCAACUCUGAGUGACGUCCCGACUCUGGUCCUUGCUUCACAACCAACGUGAGAAUCACACCCUCCAGACCUCCCACAGGUGACAACCUCAGAGCCGUGCUGGCCCGAGCAUGACAAUGACGUAUGAAAACUUCCAGGAUUUGGAGAGUGAGGAGAAAGUCCAGGGGGUUAGAAAUGGGCCGCCUCCUCCCCAGUCCCUCCUGCAGCAUCUCCGUUCUGGGCCCUGCCUCCUCCUGCUGUCCCUGGGCCUUGGUCUCCUGCUGCUGGUCAUCAUCUGUGUGGUUGGAUCCCAAA
Long non-coding RNA from Piliocolobus tephrosceles (Ugandan red Colobus), 444 nucleotides. RefSeq lists it as uncharacterized. Lineage: Eukaryota; Metazoa; Chordata; Mammalia; Primates; Cercopithecidae. The transcript has 3 exons. The record is from RefSeq and is a predicted model, not a curated record.